GAUGAACGCUGGCGGCGUGCCUAAUACAUGCAAGUCGAACGAAACUUCUUUAUCACCGAGUGCUUGCACUCACCGAUAAAGAGUUGAGUGGCGAACGGGUGAGUAACACGUGGGCAACCUGCCCAAAAGAGGGGGAUAUCACUUGGAAACAGGUGCUAAUACCGCAUAACCAUAGUUACCGCAUGGUAACUAUGUAAAAGGUGGCUAUACUACCGCUUUUGGAUGGGCCCGCGGCGCAUUAGCUAGUUGGUAGGGUAAAGGCUUACCAAGGCAAUGAUGCGUAGCCGAAUUGAGAGGUUGAUCGGCCACAUUGGGACUGAGACACGGCCCAAACUCCUACGGGAGGCAGCAGUAGGGAAUCUUCCACAAUGGGCGAAAGCCUGAUGGAGCAACGCCGCGUGGGUGAAGAAGGUCUUCGGAUCGUAAAACCCUGUUGUUAGAGAAGAAAGUGCGUGAGAGUAACUGUUCACGUUUCGACGGUAUCUAACCAGAAAGCCACGGCUAACUACGUG
RNAcentral lists this ribosomal RNA (512 nucleotides) under uncultured bacterium. RNAcentral's name for it is "partial 16S ribosomal RNA". It matches the Rfam family "Bacterial small subunit ribosomal RNA", at positions 28 to 507 of the family's 1533-position model. The record is from RNAcentral.